GAAAAUAUUCCAUUAGAAAAUGGCACGCGGACGGAGUCGUAAACGAACAAACGACGGACGAUCACAAUCUGUAAGAAUAGAUCAAGAAAUCGUAGAGGACCGCUUCGAUGAAGAACAUCGAAGAAAAUGGACAAAAGGAUUGAGGCAACCGGAUGCACCAACUCCCGCCACUAUUGUUAAGAGCGGGUGAGUAUUUUCAUUAUAAUUCAUUAUAUUUUAUCAUUUAAUUUGAUUGUUUUUUAUAGGACUUUUACAAACAAUGUAAGAAGUCAAAUAGGAAUAUUAGUAAAAGGUAAUAUAACGUCACCUUUAACUAAAUGGACUUCUUGGAAAGAAGAGGAAAAGGAAAAUAUUUUCGUCAAAUUUCUGGUAUGAUUUAUUUAUUUGUCAUUUUUUCCAUAUGUAAUGUUUUUGUCUUUAUGUAGUGCUAUUUCUCAUUUGAGGACAUUCAAUUGGCUCGUGAAUGUUUUGAUAAUUAUGUACAACUAAAUUAUACAUGUUGGUUGUAUAAAGUGAGACAAGAGGCAAAGAAAUUAGCAAAAGUUGACACACUAACCAGAUAUUGCGUUAGAUUUCCAUCGAUAUACCUUUCUACGGAAGUAUGGAGUGAAAUGAUAGAAAUUUGGUUAAAAGAAGAUUGGAAAAAAAGAUCUGAAAAAGCAUCAGAAAAUAGGACAAACAAUCCAGAUUACAUGCCAUACACGGGCGGAUCUUGUUCAGUUGCGGCCACUCAUGAAAGAAUGGUAAAAAAAUAUUUCUUUCCUAUAUUUUACAUUUAUCAUUCUAAUUUUUUUGAGUAUGACAAUCAGAAUGAAGAAGCUGGUUAUGAAGUCGGUCACUGUGAGGUUUAUAAUAAAACACAUAG
RNAcentral lists this long non-coding RNA (865 nucleotides) under Zostera marina. Its description in RNAcentral is "long non-coding RNA (ZMAR_LNC000544)". The record is from RNAcentral. Lineage: Eukaryota; Viridiplantae; Streptophyta; Magnoliopsida; Alismatales; Zosteraceae.